Molecule: non-coding RNA, 27 nt
Filed under: Rattus norvegicus (Norway rat)
Lineage: Eukaryota; Metazoa; Chordata; Mammalia; Rodentia; Muridae
Source: RNAcentral
GCAGGGUUUACAAGUUAGCAAACAUGU